AAGAGCUCAGAUUUGAAAUCGUGCUUUGCGGCACGAGUUGUAGAUUGCAGGUUGGAGUCUGUGUGGAAGGCGGUGUCCAAGUCCCUUGGAACAGGGCGCCCAGGAGGGUGAGAGCCCCGUGGGAUGCCGGCGGAAGCAGUGAGGCCCUUCUGACGAGUCGAGUUGUUUGGGAAUGCAGCUCCAAGCGGGUGGUAAAUUCCAUCUAAGGCUAAAUACUGGCGAGAGACCGAUAGCGAACAAGUACUGUGAAGGAAAGAUGAAAAGCACUUUGAAAAGAGAGUGAAACAGCACGUGAAAUUGUUGAAAGGGAAGGGUAUUGCGCCCGACAUGGGGAUUGCGCACCGCUGCCUCUCGUGGGCGGCGCUCUGGGCUUUCCCUGGGCCAGCAUCGGUUCUUGCUGCAGGAGAAGGGGUUCUGGAACGUGGCUCUUCGGAGUGUUAUAGCCAGGGCCAGAUGCUGCGUGCGGGGACCGAGGACUGCGGCCGUGUAGAUCACGGAUGCUGGCAGAACGGCGCAACACCGCCCGUCUUGAAACACGGACC
RNAcentral lists this ribosomal RNA (542 nucleotides) under Pichia kudriavzevii. RNAcentral describes it as "eukaryotic LSU rRNA". It matches the Rfam family "Eukaryotic large subunit ribosomal RNA", at positions 103 to 667 of the family's 3401-position model. The record is from RNAcentral. Lineage: Eukaryota; Fungi; Ascomycota; Pichiomycetes; Pichiales; Pichiaceae.